RNAcentral lists this ribosomal RNA (254 nucleotides) under uncultured bacterium. RNAcentral's name for it is "partial 16S ribosomal RNA". It matches the Rfam family "Bacterial small subunit ribosomal RNA", at positions 524 to 776 of the family's 1533-position model. The record is from RNAcentral.
UACGGGGGGAGCAAGCGUUGUUCGGAUUUACUGGGCGUAAAGGGCGCGUAGGCGGUCGUGACAAGUCACUUGUGAAAUCUCCGGGCUUAACUCGGAACGGUCAAGUGAUACUGUCGGACUAGAGUACAGAAGGGGCAACUGGAAUUCUCGGUGUAGCGGUGAAAUGCGUAGAGAUCAUGAGGAAGACCAGUGGCGAAGGCGGGUCUCUGGACAGUUCCUGACACUGAGGCACGAAGGCCAGGGGAGCAAACGGG